This 253-nucleotide ribosomal RNA is filed under the name uncultured bacterium. RNAcentral's name for it is "partial 16S ribosomal RNA". It matches the Rfam family "Bacterial small subunit ribosomal RNA", at positions 524 to 776 of the family's 1533-position model. The record is from RNAcentral.
UACGUAGGGGGCUAGCGUUGUCCGGAAUUAUUGGGCGUAAAGCGCGUGUAGGCGGCUUUGCAAGUCGGGUGUGAAAGCCCUCGGCUCAACCGAGGAAGUGCGCCCGAAACUGCAGAGCUUGAGUACCGGAGAGGAUGGCGGAAUUCCCCAAGUAGAGGUGAAAUUCGUAGAUAUGGGGAGGAACACCGGUGGCGAAGGCGGCCAUCUGGACGGAUACUGACGCUGAGACGCGAAAGCGUGGGGAGCAAACAGG